RNAcentral lists this transfer RNA (86 nucleotides) under Nitrospirota bacterium. RNAcentral's name for it is "Nitrospirae bacterium (sediment metagenome) tRNA-Ser". It matches the Rfam family "tRNA". Rfam says of the family: Transfer RNA (tRNA) molecules are approximately 80 nucleotides in length. Their secondary structure includes four short double-helical elements and three loops (D, anti-codon, and T loops). Lineage: Bacteria; Pseudomonadati; Nitrospirota. The record is from RNAcentral.
GGAGGGGUGGCCGAGUGGACGAUGGCGCCGGUCUUGAAAACCGGAUCCCGAAAGGGACGUGGGUUCGAAUCCUACCCCCUCCGCCA